RNAcentral lists this long non-coding RNA (4766 nucleotides) under Eucalyptus grandis. RNAcentral's name for it is "long non-coding RNA (EGRA_LNC003632)". The record is from RNAcentral. Lineage: Eukaryota; Viridiplantae; Streptophyta; Magnoliopsida; Myrtales; Myrtaceae.
AUAUCUAUCCACGUAUUUGUCUACACUACAUGUCACCCUGAUCUGUAACUUUUAGUUUGCCUUGCGCAAGAUGACCUGAACACCAUAUCGUGGCUGGAGGGUGAUGACAUUAGAAGGAGCAUGCGCAUAAGAUGGAGAGAGCUCGAAGGUGAACUGCUGAAGAAUCAUGGCGAGCGCCAUCUUUGCCUCUAUCAACGCGAAGUUUUGGCCGAUGCAUAUACGAGGGCCCCAUCCGAAUGGAAAAAACGAGACUUGGUUUUUGGUGGCCUUGGACACUCCCUCGGCAAACCUCUCUGGCUUGAACUCCUCGGCAUCCUCGCCCCAAAGUUCUUUAUCAUGGUGGAUGAGGAGUGUCGGCAUUAAGAGCUGGACUUCCGGGGGGAUGGUCAGCUUCCCUAGUUUUGUUUCCUUAGGAACCUUCCGCGUCAUCUCAGUCACCGGUGGAUAUAGCCUCAACACCUCAUUUAAGAUCAUUGUGACCUGAUUGCGACAAAUCCUCAGAAGAAUUCAUAUGAUAGAGAUGCACAUGUAGGAGCAUCUAUGAACGAUCACGAUGCUGGAAUGAUAUCAAUAUCCUCAAAGAGAUGGAAAUAUAUUGUAAUUUAUCCAGAAAAAGGGGCUUGAAGCUAUUGUCCAAAAAAUCAGGUUCUUGUGUCGAGAGGAAAUCCUAGUUCAAUUCAAGUAUGCAAAGAAAUUGUCCUGUCACUUCAUUGUCGUGUUCAUCUUCAUAGGAUAACAUUAUAUUUAAACAAACAUUUCAUCUACUAAGGAUCGGAAAAUCGCAUCCAGUAAUUAUAGAAUGAUUAUCAUGUGUCAUGUGAUAAAAGAUGCUCGUGAAGAACUCUCUAGAUCGGACCUAUUAUGAGUCCCAUUCUCAACAAAAGAGGAAAAGAGCAUUGAACUUACAAUCUUGAGGUGGCUUAAGCCGUCAGGGUCAGGUUUCCCGCUUCCGAAGAUUUGGAGGACCUCCUCCCUAGCUCGUGCUUGCCAAUCCGAGUGCACACUCAACAAGACCAUGGUCCAAACCAGCAAGACCGAAGUGGUCUCUUGUCCGGCGAAGUAGAAAAGCCUGCACUCCUCCAUCACAUCGUGAAGGCUCAUCCCGACAUUCUCCUUCAUGUUUGACUCCAGCAACAGCCCCAGCAGAUCAUCGCCAGCAGCUUCCCCUUCCCUUAUUGCUUUCUCUCUUCUGCGGAUGAUGUCCAUGAGCAGAGCCCGCACUUCCUUAUCUAUGCUCUUCAUCCUCCUGUUCAUCUUAGUUGGCACAAACCUGCGAAACAUUGAAUCAAAUAGUUGGAUUUUUUUAAGAAUGUCAUGAUUGUAAGCCAUAAGCUCAUUUAGAUUCAAUUAGCUUAUGGAUGAUGAACGAUUUUACCUCCAACCAGGGAUGUAGACCGAUUGAAGGGCUAUUAUCGUGAGCUGGGCUUGUUCCCCCUGAAGUUCGGAGAUCCUUUUGCCUUCUUCGAAGCUACUGCCAAACGCUGUUCGAGAGAUCACCUCACGGGUCAAAUUUUGAAGGUCGACCCACGCGUCGAUCUCACAGGAUCUCUCUACCGAUACCAAUUUUUCCCAUCUACCAACCAUCUCAGUGCAACUUGAAUAAAAUGCGGGCAACAUAAGCUGCAAAAGCAACAGACCAAUGCAAAGGAGGAAUUAAAAGAGAAAUCCUGAGGCAUCAAUGUUGACCAGGGAAUAGUUUCAUGUACCUUCAACUUCUCCAUGUGGAAUGCUGGAUUGAUGAUCUUUCUGUGCCGUGCCCAUUUCUCGCCCUCGUGAUCAAAGAGUCCAUUCGUGAGCAACUUCACUAGGGGAUUGGAGCCUGGCCUGGGAUAGUCGUUUAUCUUGGAGAAGAUCUCCUUUAGUUGUUCGGGGUUCGUUAUGCGCACUCUCGGUGUUGGUCCUAUCCACAUGAACGAGUCUUUGCCUGCAAUGCACUUGGUAAGAGCCACGAAGCCAAAUGAAAUACACGGUCUGCUGUUUUUUAGGAUUGCUUGUAAAUGGGUGACUUAAUUCAUAUUGACGAGGGGAAAAGAUGGUUAUAAUAAUUAUCAUGGCCGGCACUAACGUGAACUACCUUUUAGCCUUUUUAUAUGGUAUAGUCAACGUUGAAGUGAAUAAUAUUUGCAAUUUUCAUUAUUUUUCCUUUUUUUUUUCUUUCCUUUUUCUUUGUUCUGUUUUUCACUUAUUUCCCUUCACUGGUCUAGGGCCUUGGUGGCGGCUGGCAGAGAUCACUAACCACAUGUGAGGGCCAAACACCGUUGCCUAGAGUUGGCGAGGGCAUGGCAAUAGUUAAAAAAAUAAAAAAAGGAAAAAAAGAAUAAAUUUCAGAAAAUUUAUUAUAAAUUGUAAAAUUAUUCGGAUCAAUGUCAGACAUGCCAUAUGAGAAGGUUGGCAUCCACAUCUACAAUUUUUUGUCAAAAUUGUUUGAAAUGAUUAUAUUAGCAAAUUUUCAAAAGGCAUAGGAUUAAUUUGGCAAAAUUGAAAAAUUUAUGACUAAAAGGCAUUCUUAUAAUAUAUUUGUGAUCGUUUUGCUUUUUCGGUAAUUAUCCCCAGAAAUCUAUGCUGUGUUGUGCUUCUAUAUAUACGUGUGUGUGGCAAUGUAAUUAGUAAUUACUGUCUAAAUGUCACACGACAUGGUCACAUGUAAGUUUUAUUUAAUGUCGCUUUCAUAUGGUAAGACGUCCUUAUUGUGUGCAUAUCAAAAUAAGAAAUUGUAUAAAGGAAUUGAGAUGCAUUAACAUCUUUGGUCGCAAAAACACAAAACGGGGAAGUAUGAAUUUCCGAGAUAAAGAAUAGUAUUAUUCAAAUGUUCUGAAACUCCAUCAGAAACAGCGUCGACCAAAGGACCAAACCAAGCAAGUGUUAAUUUAUAAGAAAGUAUAAGUGCCACACAGAGUGAUACUAUGAAGAAGUGCAUACCAUAGGUUUGGGAGGAUUGAUGCAAGAAAGGCAAGAGACGAGGCUUGAUGUCGUCGGAGACGGCGAUGGGCUUGGAGUUGGCCUCUGUGAGCAACCGCGAGUUCUCCUUGAGGUCACCGAACAGGAAGGUGUAGGGUUUGCCGGAGAGGCCCUGCUGUCUCAGGAGCCUCUCGAGCCUUUUCGGCCUCAGCCACACCCAGUUCACCACCCUCCAUGCCCAUGUGGUCAGAACGGCCAGAACCGUUGCUAGCGCAAUUGACUGGAUCGAUGCCUCCAUCUUUUCUUCUGCGUGUUCGUAUCUAUUUGUCUGUAUGCUGUGAGAGAGAGACUCCAAUCGUUUGAUGUUGGGCAAAGGCGAUUGUGUGGUGUCGUGUUUAUGCGAUUGUGUGGUGUCGUGUUUAUAUAGCCGUAGCACCUUCCAAGGAUUGGAAAUCAGAUAAAGAAAGAAGUAACAAUUUUCUUUCUUGGACUUUUUCUAUGGGACGUGCAAAGCAAGACAAAAGAAUAAGAAAAAGAAAAGAAUCCCUGCCCCUCGAAAAAGGAAAUGAGGCCGUGGGCCCAGAGUCAAAGUUGUUGACUCUGGCACACCUAUGAUGAUAAUAGGAAUUCUCCGUUUGGCGUGAAGCUGCUGCAGCCUCACAAGAGUUGCCGAAGCCCUGUGCACGUAGAAGAAAGGAAAAAAAUCUCUCCGCACGUGGAGCCGGAAAAAAGAGCUGGUGGGCCCAGGUCAAAUAUUUGACCUUUGGGCACACGAAUGUCCCCUUUAGCGUACGUGAAGCAGCUUAAAAUCGUACGAAAGAAAAGAAGCCGCACACAUCAAGUUGCAGAGAGCCGUGCGCGUUUUUUCUGUUUCGAACUUGAAUCGUGAGUUAAUUUUAUGCCGUGGUUUUAUGUUUAAAUGAGCGGUUUAUUUAUAGGAAAAGUUUCAAAUAAGAAUUCAAAGUGAGUCUACUUUCUCAAAUAAAGAUUCGAAGUGAUUAUUAUUUCAAAUAAAAACCCAAAAUGGCUAACAAGUCUCAAAUAAGGACCUGAACCUAUUGACCAACCAAAAUGUUCACUGGCUAGAGAGCUUGCAACAUUUCCAAUGGCCAGAAUAUGGAAAAUUUUGUCAAAAAAAAUAUAGAUAGAAAUUAACAAACUCUAAAAUCAACUAUUUGAUUGACUUUUUCUAAAAGGUUGAUUUUUGGAUUAAAUCUUUGAAAUUUUUUAAAAUUAACAUGGCUAGUGUGAAAUUAGACUCAUUUAUAAUCUCUAUAUGUUAAAAGCUAACUUUUGAUUCGGGAUUGACAAAAAAAAAUUAAUAUAAAAAUCAUCCAGAUCAGCAUCUGAAAAGAAAUAAAUGGGUUUAUUAUAGCACUAGGAAAAAGCAUAGCUUAUCUUCUACUGGGGUUUUCUGAAAGGAAGAUUCAGAUACAUCCAGCGUCUUGCUGUUAUUAAACUAAAAUAACCGGUCACUUAGUUAAGAGGCCAUUUGAUUACGUUUACAACCACUAAACUUCUAUUCUUAAACAACAACGUACAAACUUCGAAAAUGGUGUAGUGCGACAUUAUAUCUAUCCACGUAUUUGUCUACACUACAUGUCACCCUGAUCUCUAACUUUUAGUUUGCCUUGCGCAAGAUGACCUGAACACCAUAUCGUGGCUGGAGGGUGAUGACAUUAGAAGGAGCAUGCGCAUAAGAUGGAGAGAGCUCGAAGGUGAACUGCUGAAGAAUCAUGGCGAGCGCCAUCUUUGCCUCUAUCAACGCGAAGUUUUGGCCGAUGCAUAUACGAGGGCCCCAUCCGAACGGAAAAAAGGAGACUUGGUUUUUGGUGGCCUUGGACACUCCCUCGGCAAACCUCUCUGGC